GUGGGGAAUUUUGGACAAUGGGGGCAACCCUGAUCCAGCCAUUCCGCGUGAGUGAAGAAGGCCUUCGGGUUGUAAAGCUCUUUCAGCAGGAACGAAACGGUACGCGCUAACAUCGUGUGCUAAUGACGGUACCUGCAGAAGAAGCACCGGCUAACUACGUGCCAGCAGCCGCGGUAAUACGUAGGGUGCGAGCGUUAAUCGGAAUUACUGGGCGUAAAGGGUGCGCAGGCGGUUUUGUAAGUCAGAUGUGAAAUCCCCGGGCUUAACCUGGGAAUUGCGUUUGAAACUACAAAACUAGAGUGUAGCAGAGGGAGGUGGAAUUCCAUGUGUAGCAGUGAAAUGCGUAGAGAUAUGGAAGAACAUCGAUGGCGAAGGCAGCCUCCUGGGUUAACACUGACGCUCAUGCACGAAAGCGUGGGGAGCAAACAGGAUUAGAAACCCUAGUAGUCC
RNAcentral lists this ribosomal RNA (450 nucleotides) under uncultured bacterium. Its description in RNAcentral is "bacterial SSU rRNA". It matches the Rfam family "Bacterial small subunit ribosomal RNA", at positions 354 to 796 of the family's 1533-position model. The record is from RNAcentral.